GGGGCUGUUAUGGAUUUGACAAUAUUUACGUAACCUUAGGUGCAUGUCGAGAUAAGGUAAUCUCGUAAAAUAACCUAAAAAAAAUAAUUGCAAAAAAAUCGCAAUAUGAAUCUGCUGCAUUUGCAUUAGCAGCUUAAUCGGCCUAACAACUGAAGAUUCCCUCUAUCCCUAGUCUUCGCUCUUAGAACGGGGGAAAUAGAGGUCAAAAAUAACAAAAGAGAUCGCGUUUAAUUUUUUUUCUGGACUUGAACGUUAAAAUUUAAUCAGAAUAGUUUAUCAUUUACGUGUCUGUCCGUAGUUGAUCAGCGAAAUUAAAGACAAAACUAAGCAUGUAGUACCAAAGGCGUAGAAAUGUUGGACGCGGGUUCAAAUCCCGCCAGCUCCACUC
This 388-nucleotide transfer-messenger RNA is filed under the name Enterobacteriaceae (enterobacteria). RNAcentral's name for it is "Baumannia cicadellinicola_A Standard tmRNA". It matches the Rfam family "transfer-messenger RNA". From Rfam's summary of the family: Bacterial tmRNA, also known as 10Sa RNA or SsrA, is named for its dual tRNA and mRNA-like properties. RNAcentral also lists the same sequence under 1 other name. Lineage: Bacteria; Pseudomonadati; Pseudomonadota; Gammaproteobacteria; Enterobacterales. The record is from RNAcentral.